This 253-nucleotide ribosomal RNA is filed under the name uncultured bacterium. Its description in RNAcentral is "partial 16S ribosomal RNA". It matches the Rfam family "Bacterial small subunit ribosomal RNA", at positions 524 to 776 of the family's 1533-position model. The record is from RNAcentral.
UACGGGGGGGGCAAGCGUUGUCCGGAAUCAUUGGGCGUAAAGCGCGCGUAGGCGGCCCUGUAAGUCCGUUGUGAAAGUCAAAGGCUCAACCUUUGAAAGCCGAUGGAUACUGCAGGGCUAGAGUUCGGAAGAGGCGAGUGGAAUUCCUGGUGUAGCGGUGGAAUGCGCAGAUAUCAGGAGGAACACCAAUAGCGAAGGCAGCUCGCUGGGACGAUACUGACGCUAAGGCGCGAAAGCGUGGGGAGCGAACAGG